RNAcentral lists this ribosomal RNA (938 nucleotides) under uncultured delta proteobacterium. RNAcentral describes it as "bacterial SSU rRNA". It matches the Rfam family "Bacterial small subunit ribosomal RNA", at positions 8 to 916 of the family's 1533-position model. Lineage: Bacteria; Deltaproteobacteria. The record is from RNAcentral.
AGAGUUUGAUCCUGGCUCAGAAUGAACGCUGGCGGCGUGCUUAACACAUGCAAGUCGUACGAGAAAUCCUUGGCUUGCCAGGGAGAGUAAAGUGGCGCACGGGUGAGUAACGCGUGGGUAAUCUACCCUUGGAUUCAGGAUAACACUUCGAAAGGGGUGCUAAUACUGGAUAACAUCCUGAUGGUUUAGGCCAUAAGGAUCAAAGAUAGCCUCUACAUGUAAGCUAUUGUACAGGGAUGAGCCCGCGUACCAUUAGCUAGUUGGUGGGGUAAGAGCCUACCAAGGCAACGAUGGUUAGCUGGUCUGAGAGGAUGAUCAGCCACACUGGAACUGAAACACGGUCCAGACUCCUACGGGAGGCAGCAGUGAGGAAUUUUGCGCAAUGGGGGAAACCCUGACGCAGCAACGCCGCGUGAGUGAAGAAGGCUUUCGGGUCGUAAAGCUCUGUCAAGAGGGAAGAAAGUGGGGAGGUGGUAAUACUGUUUUCUAUUGACGGUACCUCUGAAGGAAGCACCGGCUAACUCCGUGCCAGCAGCCGCGGUAAUACGGGGGGUGCAAGCGUUAUUCGGAUUUAUUGGGCGUAAAGAGCGCGUAGGCGGUUUAUCAAGUCAGAUGUGAAAGCCCUGGGCUCAACCUGGGAAGUGCAUUUGAAACUAGUAGACUUGAGUAUGGGAGAGGGGAGUGGAAUUCCUGGUGUAGAGGUGAAAUUCGUAGAUAUCAGGAGGAACACCGGUGGCGAAGGCGACUUCCUGGACCAAUACUGACGCUGAGGCGCGAAGGCGUGGGGAGCAAACAGGAUUAGAUACCCUGGUAGUCCACGCAGUAAACGGUGAUCACUAGGUGUAGCGGGUAUUGACCCCUGCUGUGCCGCAGUUAACGCAUUAAGUGAUCCGCCUGGGGAGUACGAUCGCAAGGUUAAAACUCAAAGGAAUUGACGG